AUGCCGCCAGAUCUUCCCAAAGAGGGCGAGAAGACCCACUCCUUGAAUCUUGACCCCCAAACACCUGCGACCAAUUGUCUGUCCACAAUCUCCUUUUUAGUUUCCAACAAAAUUACUAUUUUUGGUUUGAGUCUCCGUAGUUGCUCUUUUACCAGUAAUCUUUUCCUUCUACUUCCCAGACCUCGAAUAUUCCAACUGAUUAUCUUCAUUAAUGAGAGGUAUAAUCCCUUUUCUUCUCAUUACCUUUUCCAGAGCCCAUCGAUCCCGUGCCACCAUUGGAAUUACAAGGUUUACCAUGUCUUCUGUGAGCCAAGUUCUUCUUUAGGGGCAACAAAGAUAUGUCCAUUUUGUGCAUCAACGAUUUAG
RNAcentral lists this long non-coding RNA (366 nucleotides) under Prunus dulcis (almond). Its description in RNAcentral is "sRNA ncRNA". The record is from RNAcentral. Lineage: Eukaryota; Viridiplantae; Streptophyta; Magnoliopsida; Rosales; Rosaceae.